This 509-nucleotide ribosomal RNA is filed under the name uncultured bacterium. RNAcentral's name for it is "bacterial SSU rRNA". It matches the Rfam family "Bacterial small subunit ribosomal RNA", at positions 25 to 518 of the family's 1533-position model. The record is from RNAcentral.
CAGAUUGAACGCUGGCGGCGUGCUUAACACAUGCAAGUCGCGCGUGAAAGGACUUCGGUCCGAGUAAAGCGGCGCACGGGUGAGUAACGCGUGGAUGAUCUACCCAUGAGUUAGGAAUAACGGCUGGAAACGGUCGCUAAUACCAAAUACGCUCCGAUUUCAACUUCGGGGGAAAGGUGGCCUCUGCUUGCAAGCUACUGCUCAUGGAUGAGUCCGCGUCCCAUUAGCUAGUUGGUGGGGUAACGGCCCACCAAGGCGACGAUGGGUAGCCGGUCUGAGAGGAUGACCGGCCACACUGGGACUGGAACACGGCCCAGACUCCUACGGGAGGCAGCAGUGGGGAAUAUUGCGCAAUGGGCGAAAGCCUGACGCAGCGACGCCGCGUGAGGGAAUGAAGGUCCUCGGAUCGUAAACCUCUGUCAGGAGGGAAGAACCGCCACGGUGCUAAUCAGCCGUGGUCUGACGGUACCUCCAAAGGAAGCACCGGCUAACUCCGUGCCAGCAGCUGC